Molecule: ribosomal RNA, 252 nt
Filed under: uncultured bacterium
Lineage: Bacteria
Description: partial 16S ribosomal RNA
Rfam family: Bacterial small subunit ribosomal RNA
Source: RNAcentral
UACGUAGGGUGCAAGCGUUGUCCGGAAUUAUUGGGCGUAAAGAGCUCGUAGGCGGCUUGUCGCGUCGUCCGUGAAAACUUGGGGCUCAACCCCCAAACUUGCGGUCGAUACGGGCAGGCUAGAGUCGGUAGGGGAGACUGGAAUUCCUGGUGUAGCGGUGAAUGCGCAGAUAUCAGGAGGAACACCAAUGGCGAAGGCAGCUCGCUGGGACGUGACUGACGCUGAGGAGCGAAAGCAUGGGGAGCGAACAGG